UUCAGUCGAUUUCUUCGGAAUGAAACGGAAAAAGGAAAGUAGCGAACGGGUGAGUAACACGUGAGAAACCUGCCUUUCACAAAGGGAUAGCCUCGGGAAACCGGGAUUAAUACCUUAUGAUACAUUAAUAUCGCAUGAUGUAAAUGUUAAAGAAUUUCGGUGAAAGAUGGUCUCGCGUCUGAUUAGCUAGUUGGUAAGGUAGUGGCUUACCAAGGCGACGAUCAGUAGCCGGAUUGAGAGGUUGAACGGCCACACUGGAACUGAGACACGGUCCAGACUCCUACGGGAGGCAGCAGUGGGGAAUUUUGCACAAUGGGGGAAACCCUGAUGCAGCGACGCCGCGUGAACGAUGAAGGUCUUCGGAUUGUAAAGUUCUGUCCUUAGCGAAGAUAAUGACAGUAGCUAAGAAGCAAGCCCUGGCUAAAUACGUGCCAGCAGCCGCGGUAAUACGUAUGGGGCAAGCGUUGUCCGGAAUUAUUGGGCGUAAAGGGUAUGUAGGUGGUUAAUUAAGUCUGAAUUCAAAGGCUGUGGCUCAACCACAGUUCGGUUUAGAAACUGGUUAACUUGAGUAGAUGAGGGGAAAGUGGAAUUCCAUGUGUAGCGGUGAAAUGCGUAGAUAUAUGGAGGAACACCAGUGGCGAAGGCGACUUUCUGGAAUCUAACUGACGCUGAGAUACGAAGGCGUGGGGAGCAAACAGGAUUAGAUACCUGGUAGUCCACGCAGUAAACGAUGAGUGCUAGUUGUCGGGAGUCAAACCUCGGUGACGCAGCUUAACGCAUUGAAGCACUCCGCCUGGGGAGUACG
RNAcentral lists this ribosomal RNA (805 nucleotides) under uncultured Clostridia bacterium. RNAcentral's name for it is "bacterial SSU rRNA". It matches the Rfam family "Bacterial small subunit ribosomal RNA", at positions 62 to 884 of the family's 1533-position model. Lineage: Bacteria; Bacillati; Bacillota; Clostridia. The record is from RNAcentral.